This is a long non-coding RNA of Cyprinus carpio carpio, 1428 nucleotides long. The record is from Ensembl. Lineage: Eukaryota; Metazoa; Chordata; Actinopteri; Cypriniformes; Cyprinidae.
AAUAAUGGGAGUGAAAAAAUAAAUAGUUUGGACUGAGAGGCAGUUUGGUGUUGGAUUCAGUGAUCUGACAUGUUCUGUUGUUCUUGGUUACUCCAUUUAUAGUGUUAGCACUUAAAUGCUCCGUAGAAAGCAUAGAUCUCUUUUGAUGUGUUGGAGUGGAGUGGAGGAAUUGUAUUGGGCAUGUGCAAUUCACACUGGACGUAGACUGAUGGGAUUGAUAUUCCAGGACCGGCAGUAUGGUGAUGCCCAUAAAUAAGAGUGUUUAAUUGUGGAGUGUUUUGAGAUGUUGCCUUCCUUCAUCUGACAAUCACAGUGCACCUCUAGAGAGAGAAAAAAAGAUUUUGCUGGGUUUCAGUGAAUGUCAACAAAACAAUUCAUAUGAAGUGUUUGGAUUUAUUCCCCAUUGUGGCUCCCAGAUGAUGACCAUAUUAUCACUGGUGACCAUAUCAUAUUGCUGAAAAUAUGAAUGAAAUGCAAGAGACACUUUUUGUAAGGUACAGUGUUUUUUUUUUUUUAAUCUUUUUAUUUUUUGACAGCAUUAAGUUUGCCACUUGCACUUGAAUGCAUUUCCAAGUUAAUAUUGAUGUUUUGAGCCAUUGUGAGAGAGUUCAAGGCACCCGUGAGCUCAUUGCACCAACAGAACUCUGAAUAUUUAUCUCUCAUGCUGUAUUUACUGAGAAUGAACUUCUGCACUCCAGUAUGAACUGAUCCAUUUCUCCUCUUUUAAAUAAAAAAGAAAUCAGUUGAACAACAGUUGUUUGUUAUGUCUUGUCAUGGCCUAUCAAUUAUAUCAGUCGUGGCCUAAUGGUUAGAGAGUUGGACUUAUAACCGAAAGGUCUGAGUACUAGCAGGGGAUUGUAGGUAGGGGGAGUGAAUGUACAGCGCUCCCUCCCUCCCACCUUCAAUACUACGACUGAGGUGAGACCUUUGAGCAAACCACCAAAUCCCCAACUGCUCACAAUUAAAAUGUGUGUUUGUGUGUUCACCACUUACUGCUGUGUGUCUGCACUUGGAUGGGUUAAAUGCAGAGCACAAAUUCCAUGUAUGGGAGACCAUACUUGGCUACACGUUAUGACACGUUCACGUUCAUUAUACAAAAGUAUAUUAGAAAAGUACAAAAUCUAUUUUUAUUGUUGUAUUAACAAUCAUUUCCAUUAAACGAAACUGAAAUAUAUGUAAGAUGAAAUCAUUUUUUCACUGCUGUCAGUUGUUUUCUAAAACAGUAGCAAAGACAUUUUACGUCAACCUUAUUCAAGAGUAAACACUGCUGGGUAACUGACCUAAAAUCUGUGAUUCUUCAAUAACACUGUGGAUCAAUGUACAAAUACUGCACACAAAAUCAUUGAGAUGUUUAUUUUUCUUCUUUUUUCUUUCUUUGUUUUUUUUCUUGAAUGCCAAGAUUGCGGAAUUCACAUUAUAAAGCCAUGG